UACAUUAAGUUGAGCUGGUUGUGACCAUGACAGGUGUGUCUGAUGCUGGUUAAAUAGGCACAGUAAGGUGUUAUACAUGUAGGCACCAGGCAAGACAGCUAGGAAAGAAAUCGACCAGUUUCAGAGAGAACUUGGACGUUAAAGCUGAAACUGGAGAGCUUGGCAGUACCUCAGGGUUUGGCUGAUAUCCUUCGUUAAAAAAGGAUCUAUUAGGCCCUGCAAUGGACCGAGAUUCGCCAGAAAUAGAAGAUGCAAAGAUAGUCACCGAAGGAGAGACACCUGAUAUUGAAGCCAUAGAAAAUGAAAGACUUCUCAAUUCUGAUGACGAGGAAGAGGAGAUGCAGCGGGAACAAGAAAUUUGGGACAGAAUCCAGGAUAUUCAGAAACGAUGGCAGGAGGCACGCCAAAGAAAGCUGCAGUUAACACAAAAGCAAGCAGAAAUGGUGAAGCGAUGGAAGGCAAGAGCCGCCGAAAAGGCACAAACCAUUGCAAAGAAGACCUGACUGUAGCUCAUAACUCGGCAUCAUAAAUAUACCUGAGGCAAUCUGAACUGGUUUACGCAAGGACGUCGACGUCCAGUGCGACCAAUUCCAAUGUAAUAAAUUUCGUUGUGAGAUGGCAGUAAGAAUAUCGUAAAAUAAACAAACUGAAGGACCAUCUUUAGUAAAUUUCAUCCACAAAGAUCAAUGCAAUUGUUGGAGUUUGUACUAUAGAGAAAAAUGCCAUGACUGGAAUAUCAGAGGGUGACUUGGAACAUAUAAAGAUGACUUAAGUGUUAUUUCUGUUAGUUAGUCAUUUUAAUUAACAUUAAAAUGUCCUGUCUAUACUGUGUGUGCCAGUUUUUUAAAAGAAUGAACUUUGUUUUUGUUGACCAUCUAUGAUGCUGAACGCAAUCGCACAUUCGUAGAAAAAAAGAUACAAGUCUCGUGAGCACGCAGUUUUAGACUGAAAAUUGGGUAAAAAUUGCACAAUUCGAAGACCACAAAACACAGAAACUCCAAUUUGUCUGUGUGCACAGUUGAAGCCUGUUAUCAAAUCGAAAUAAAGAAAUUGAUACAGCCAGUUUUCAUAUAACAAAGAUAUUUCAGAUAUUUGAUAUCAGUGAUGAUCAAAGAUAGUUCAUGUAA
Molecule: long non-coding RNA, 1127 nt
Organism: Lingula anatina
Lineage: Eukaryota; Metazoa; Brachiopoda; Lingulata; Lingulida; Lingulidae
Source: RefSeq, a predicted model, not a curated record